RNAcentral lists this ribosomal RNA (415 nucleotides) under uncultured bacterium. RNAcentral describes it as "bacterial SSU rRNA". It matches the Rfam family "Bacterial small subunit ribosomal RNA", at positions 358 to 774 of the family's 1533-position model. The record is from RNAcentral.
GGAAUAUUCCACAAUGGGGGGAACCCUGAUGGAGCGACGCCGCGUGAGUGAAGAAGGGCUUCGGCUCGUAAAGCUCUUUUCUGAAGGACGAAUGGUCUAUUGGAUAGUCAGAGACGGUACUUUGGGAAUAAGCCACGGCUAACUACUUGCCAGCAGCCGCGGUAAUACGUAGGUGGCAAGCGUUGUCCGGAAUUAUUGGGCGUAAAGGGAGCGCAGGCGGGGCGGUAAGUCCAAAUUAAAAGUGCAGGAGUAAUGUCUGUGAUGGUUUGGAAACUAUCGGUCUGGAGAGCAGGAGAGGCAAGCGGAAUUCCCGGUGUAGCGGGGAAAUGCGUAGAUAUCGGGAGGAACACCAGUGGCGAAGGCGGCUUGCUGGACUGUGUCUGACGCUGAGGCUCGAAAGCCAGGGUAGCGAACG